This 72-nucleotide small nucleolar RNA is filed under the name Choloepus hoffmanni (Hoffmann's two-fingered sloth). RNAcentral's name for it is "Small nucleolar RNA SNORD112 (ENSCHOG00000016026.1)". Lineage: Eukaryota; Metazoa; Chordata; Mammalia; Pilosa; Megalonychidae. The record is from RNAcentral.
UAGACCAAUGAUGAGAGUGUGUUAUCAGCCAAGGGUUAUGAUGAAUUCAAUUUUGUACACCUGAAGUCCAAA